RNAcentral lists this long non-coding RNA (248 nucleotides) under Homo sapiens (human). Its description in RNAcentral is "non-protein coding lnc-OTOL1-5:1". Lineage: Eukaryota; Metazoa; Chordata; Mammalia; Primates; Hominidae. The record is from RNAcentral.
GCAGCUGGACUCAGUUUAGAUGAUCCCAAUUUUGUUGGCAACAUCCAAAGCAUCGUAAUCAGGAGCCAGUCGAACAUAUGCCUUCUUCUCUCCAUCAGGUGGGUGACGUGCGGAUCUUCUUCUUUUUGUGGCUGUGGACACCUUUCAACACUGCCUUCUUGGCCUUUAAAGCCUUCGCUUUGGCUUCAGCUUUAGGAGGGGCAGGAGCUUCCUUCUUCGCUUUCGGCGCCAUGUUGUGAAAAGGGUCC